UACGUAGGGUGCAAGCGUUGUCCGGAAUUAUUGGGCGUAAAGAGCUCGUAGGCGGUUUGUCGCGUCUGCUGUGAAAACCCGAGGCUCAACCUCGGGCCUGCAGUGGGUACGGGCAGACUAGAGUGCGGUAGGGGAGAUUGGAAUUCCUGGUGUAGCGGUGGAAUGCGCAGAUAUCAGGAGGAACACCGGUGGCGAAGGCGGGUCUCUGGGCCGAUACUGACGCUGAGGAGCGACAGCGUGGGGAGCAAACAGG
Molecule: ribosomal RNA, 253 nt
Filed under: uncultured bacterium
Lineage: Bacteria
Description: partial 16S ribosomal RNA
Rfam family: Bacterial small subunit ribosomal RNA
Source: RNAcentral